This 1034-nucleotide ribosomal RNA is filed under the name metagenome. RNAcentral's name for it is "bacterial SSU rRNA". It matches the Rfam family "Bacterial small subunit ribosomal RNA", at positions 102 to 1182 of the family's 1533-position model. The record is from RNAcentral.
ACGGCUGAGUAACGCGUAGGAAUUUGCCCCAAAGUGAGGAAUAACUGCCCGAAAGGGUAGCUAAUGCCGCAUAUGGUCUUCGGAUUAAAGCCUUCGGGCGCUUUGGGAGAAGCCUGCGUUGGAUUAGGUAGUUGGUAGGGUAAUGGCCUACCAAGCCGACGAUCCAUAGCUGGUCUGAGAGGAUGAUCAGCCAGACUGGAACUGAGACACGGUCCAGACUCCUACGGGAGGCAGCAGUGAGGAAUCUUCCACAAUGGGCGAAAGCCUGAUGGAGCAACGCCGCGUGAAGGAUGAAGGCCUUCGGGUUGUAAACUUCUUUUAUGAGUGAAGAAUAUGACGGUAACUCAUGAAUAAGCACCGGCUAACUACGUGCCAGCAGCCGCGGUCAUACGUAGGGUGCAAGCAUUAUCCGGAGUGACUGGGCGUAAAGAGUUGCGUAGGCGGUUUAAUAAGUGAAUAGUGAAACCUGGUGGCUCAACCAUACAGACUAUUAUUCAAACUGUUAAACUCGAGAAUGGUAGAGGUAACUGGAAUUUCUAGUGUAGGAGUGAAAUCCGUAGAUAUUAGAAGGAACACCGAUGGCGUAGGCAGGUUACUGGGCCAUUUCUGACGCUAAGGCACGAAAGCGUGGGGAGCGAACCGGAUUAGAUACCCGGGUAGUCCACGCCGUAAACGAUGGAUACUAGCUGUUGGAGGUAUCGACCCCUUCAGUAGCGAAGCUAACGCGUUAAGUAUCCCGCCUGUGGAGUACGGCCGCAAGGCUAAAACAUAAAGGAAUUGACGGGGACCCGCACAAGCGGUGGAUUAUGUUCUUUAAUUCGAUGAUAACCGAAGAACCUUACCAGGGCUUGACAUCCAGGGAAGGUCUGCGAAAGUAGACUGUGCCUUUUGGAACCCUGUGACAGGUGAUGCAUGGCCGUCGUCAGCUCGUGUCGUGAGAUGUUAGGUUAAGUCCUUCAACGAGCGCAACCCUUGUGAAUAGUUGUAUUUUUCUAUUCAGACUGCCCCGGUAACGGGGAGGAAGGAGGGGAUGA